RNAcentral lists this transfer RNA (76 nucleotides) under Gammaproteobacteria bacterium. Its description in RNAcentral is "tRNA-Phe". It matches the Rfam family "tRNA". Rfam says of the family: Transfer RNA (tRNA) molecules are approximately 80 nucleotides in length. Their secondary structure includes four short double-helical elements and three loops (D, anti-codon, and T loops). Lineage: Bacteria; Pseudomonadati; Pseudomonadota; Gammaproteobacteria. The record is from RNAcentral.
GGCCAGAUAGCUCAGUUGGUAGAGCAGAGGACUGAAAAUCCUCGUGUCGUGGGUUCAAUUCCCUCUCUGGCCACCA